UGGGGAAUUUUGGACAGUGGGCGAAAGCCUGAUCCAGCAAUGCCGCGUGUGUGAAGAAGGCCUUCGGGUUGUAAAGCACUUUUGUCCGGAAAGAAAUGGCUCUGGUUAAUACCUGGGGUCGAUGACGGUACCGGAAGAAUAAGGACCGGCUAACUACGUGCCAGCAGCCGCGGUAAUACGUAGGGUCCAAGCGUUAAUCGGAAUUACUGGGCGUAAAGCGUGCGCAGGCGGUUGUGCAAGACCGAUGUGAAAUCCCCGAGCUUAACUUGGGAAUUGCAUUGGUGACUGCACGGCUAGAGUGUGUCAGAGGGGGUAGAAUUCCACGUGUAGCAGUGAAAUGCGUAGAGAUGUGGAGGAAUACCGAUGGCGAAGGCAGCCCCCUGGGAUAACACUGACGCUCAUGCACGAAAGCGUGGGGAGCAAACAGGAUUAGAUACCCUGGUAGUCCACGCCCUAAACGAUGUCAACUAGUUGUUGGGGAUUCAUUUCCUUAGUAACGUAGCUAACGCGUGAAGUUGACCGCCUGGGGAGUACGGUCGCAAGAUUAAAAGC
This 552-nucleotide ribosomal RNA is filed under the name uncultured bacterium. Its description in RNAcentral is "partial 16S ribosomal RNA". It matches the Rfam family "Bacterial small subunit ribosomal RNA", at positions 355 to 901 of the family's 1533-position model. The record is from RNAcentral.